RNAcentral lists this ribosomal RNA (222 nucleotides) under uncultured fungus. Its description in RNAcentral is "partial small subunit ribosomal RNA". It matches the Rfam family "Eukaryotic small subunit ribosomal RNA", at positions 630 to 863 of the family's 1831-position model. The record is from RNAcentral. Lineage: Eukaryota; Fungi.
GGGAGUAGCUGACGGUCCGCGGUUUUUAAUCGUGUGUACUGUAUUUUGUCUAUUCUCAUCCUUGUAGUGAAUGUAUCUGGCAUUUAGUUGUCGGGUGCAGGAGCUGCAUCGUUUACUGUGAAAAAAUUAGAGUGUUUAAAGCAGGCUUAUGCCGUGAAUAUAUUAGCAUGGAAUGAUAUUAUAGGACUUUGGUGCUAUUUUAUUGGUUUGCACAUCAAGGUA